Molecule: small RNA, 16 nt
Filed under: Arabidopsis thaliana (thale cress)
Lineage: Eukaryota; Viridiplantae; Streptophyta; Magnoliopsida; Brassicales; Brassicaceae
Description: ATSL000330
Source: RNAcentral
UGAAGAAAAAGGCAAA